UACGAAGGGUGCAAGCGUUACUCGGAAUUACUGGGCGUAAAGCGUGCGUAGGUGGUCUGUUAAGUCUGAUGUGAAAGCCCUGGGCUCAACCUGGGAACUGCAUUGGAUACUGGCAGGCUAGAGUGCGGUAGAGGAUGGCGGAAUUCCCGGUGUAGCAGUGAAAUGCGUAGAGAUCGGGAGGAACAUCUGUGGCGAAGGCGGCCAUCUGGACCAGCACUGACACUGAGGCACGAAAGCGUGGGGAGCAAACAGG
RNAcentral lists this ribosomal RNA (253 nucleotides) under uncultured bacterium. Its description in RNAcentral is "partial 16S ribosomal RNA". It matches the Rfam family "Bacterial small subunit ribosomal RNA", at positions 524 to 776 of the family's 1533-position model. The record is from RNAcentral.